ACAUCCCUAGGAUACAAAGUGGGGUGUGUUUUUAUGAGUGUAAUGGUUCCAAUAGUUGGUGCCUAAUUGAUUUCCUAAAGGAAGUCAAAUAACUAAAGGUUUAAGAAAACCUAAUGCAAAUAGGACUUGUAUUAAGUGCUUGUUUGAUUUUGAAUAGGAUUCAAACCUUAUGCUUAUUUAAAUAGACCUCCCCUAAGGUCCCUAGACACUUCAACCAGCAGCCCCACACCCCC
RNAcentral lists this long non-coding RNA (233 nucleotides) under Elaeis guineensis (African oil palm). RNAcentral describes it as "long non-coding RNA (EGUI_LNC062901)". The record is from RNAcentral. Lineage: Eukaryota; Viridiplantae; Streptophyta; Magnoliopsida; Arecales; Arecaceae.